This 407-nucleotide ribosomal RNA is filed under the name uncultured bacterium. RNAcentral's name for it is "partial 16S ribosomal RNA". It matches the Rfam family "Bacterial small subunit ribosomal RNA", at positions 28 to 526 of the family's 1533-position model. The record is from RNAcentral.
GAUGAACGCUGGCGGCGUGCCUAAUACAUGCAAGUAGAACGCAGUUGCGAACGGGUGAGUAACGCGUAGGUAACUGCCGCAUAGCGGGGGAUAACGAUUGGAAACGAUAGCUAAUACCGCAUAUUGUGAGAUGGACCUGCGUUGUCUUAGCUAGUUGGUGAGGUAAAGGCUCACCAAGGCGACGAUACAUAGCCGGCCUGGGAGGGUGAUCGGCCCCAACGGGACUGAGACACGGCCCAGACUCCUUCGGGCGGCAGCAAUGGGGAAACUUCGGCAAUGGGCAGAAGUCUGGCCUAGCAACGCCUCGGGAGUGCAGAAAGUUUGCGGAGCGUAAAGCUCUGUUUUUAGAGAAGCGGUAACUAACCAGAAAGGACCGGCUAACUACGUGCCAGCAGCCGCGGUAAUAC